GACGAACGCUGGCGGCGUGCUUAACACAUGCAAGUCGUACGGUAAGGCCCUUUCGGGGGUACACGAGUGGCGAACGGGUGAGUAACACGUGAGUAACCUGCCCACAACUUUGGGAUAACGCUUGGAAACUGGUGCUAAUACUGGAUAUGUGCUCCUGCUGCAUGGUGGGGGUUGGAAAGCUCCGGCGGUUGUGGAUGGACUCGCGGCCUAUCAGCUUGUUGGUGGGGUAGUGGCCUACCAAGGCGGCGACGGGUAGCCGGCCUGAGAGGGUGACCGGCCACAUUGGGACUGAGAUACGGCCCAGACUCCUACGGGAGGCAGCAGUGGGGAAUAUUGCACAAUGGGCGCAAGCCUGAUGCAGCAACGCCGCGUGCGGGAUGACGGCCUUCGGGUUGGAAACCGCUUUCAGCAGGGACGAAGCUUUUUGUGACGGUACCUGCAGAAGAAGCACCGGCUAACUACGUG
This 465-nucleotide ribosomal RNA is filed under the name uncultured bacterium. RNAcentral's name for it is "partial 16S ribosomal RNA". It matches the Rfam family "Bacterial small subunit ribosomal RNA", at positions 28 to 507 of the family's 1533-position model. The record is from RNAcentral.